UACGGAGGGUGCAAGCGUUAAUCGGAAUUACUGGGGGUAAAGCGCACGCAGGUGGUUUGUCAAGUCGGAUGUGAAAUCCCCGGGCUCAACCCGGGAACUGCAUUCGAAACUGGCAGACUAGAGUCUUGUUGAGGGGGGUAGAAUUCCAGGUGUAGCGGUGAAAUGCGUAGAGAUCUGGAGGAAUACCGGUGGCGAAGGCGGCCACCUCGACAAAGACUGACGCUCAGGUGCGAAAGCGUGGGGAGCAAACAGG
This 253-nucleotide ribosomal RNA is filed under the name uncultured bacterium. Its description in RNAcentral is "partial 16S ribosomal RNA". It matches the Rfam family "Bacterial small subunit ribosomal RNA", at positions 524 to 776 of the family's 1533-position model. The record is from RNAcentral.